Acipenser ruthenus (sterlet) is the source of this 2537-nucleotide long non-coding RNA. RefSeq lists it as uncharacterized. The record is from RefSeq and is a predicted model, not a curated record. Lineage: Eukaryota; Metazoa; Chordata; Actinopteri; Acipenseriformes; Acipenseridae. The transcript has 6 exons.
UCAUAACAUGUGUUGUGAUUCCCAUCUCUCACACACUCUUUUUUUUUCUUACCAAUUCAAUAAAACAAAAGCUCUCUCUCUCUCUCUCUCUCUCUCUCUCUCUCUCUCUCUCUCUCUCUCUCUCUCUCUCUCUCUCUCUCUCUCUCUCUCUCUCUCUCUCUCUCUCUCUCUCUCUCUCUCUCUCUCUCUCUCUCUCUCUCUCUCUCUCUCUCUCUCUCUCUCUCUCUCUCUCUCUCUCUCUCUCUCUCUCUCUGUGUGUGACAGGCACAGAGACACACACACAUAACUUGCCAGCUGGUCUCUGUAAACAUGUUAACUUUAGUUGUGUAACUGCAAUAACCUUGAAGAAACAAACAGACUGCAAAACGGCACCAGCAUUUCCAUUCUACAGCUAGUCCGACUAUGAGGGAGACAGCGUUCUUCAGUGCUCAAUGUGACUUGGUUUUGAGAUUCAGUACAUUGAAAAGAACAGCAUGAACCCAAGAUUUCUCAAACCUUGAAGACAGAACGCCUUCGGCACUGCAACAGUCUACUGCACAGAACUGCACCGCGGCAUUAGCAAGUCCCACCAGUACCUCCGACCAUACUGUGGCAAUUCAGAGGAGUUUCUUCUGCCAGGCAGCUGAUUUUGCUGAGCAGGAGCUGAAAACAACACUGCUAUACCAGCUAUGAUCCGCUGAGAAAGACUCCGGGCAAGAUCAAUAGAAGCUAUACAAGAGGAUACAUUUCUUUAACACGUUCGGAGAAAAUUAAACAGACUGGUUCUGAAGACCAGGACUGGGUACCCAGCUACAGAUAAUUUGUAUCCUUUACUGCCAAUUGUAUUUUCUUGAAAAAAUGUGUUUAUAAGAGAGAAUAACCAGAAACUACAGAGCAGUUGAGUAGGUAAUGGACCAGUUGUGAAGUUGUCAUUAGACUUUCAGAUUUGUUUUGAACCAAUUUUUUGGUUUAAUCAAUUACUGAUUAAAAGCCCACUUUCUUUAAAAAUAUUAAUAAAUAAUUUACACCCUGCAACACUGCAAGAGAUAGAAGGUGCUGUUUUAAUUCCAGUUUUCAAUGGUGGUUUAUUACACAUUAUUGAUUGAUAUUUUACAAUUGAAUAUAUCUGUGGGUUUUUAUCGUGGGAGAAACAUAUCCUGCAUGCCAGGAUUGUUUAGUAAAUUAUGCAGAUAGUUUAAAAGAAUUAGGUAAUAUCAACAAUUUUACAUUUUAAAAUAUAAAUGAAUAUUCUCAGCAAAGGGGAGACUUCUGGCUGUUCAGAUGUUAGUAUUAUUGUCGCACCUACAUUUUUGUCAAACUUGCUAAGGUCAUUCCUUUGCCCAAGGGUUUUAGAUUUCUGGCUUCUCCUUUAGCCGAUUACCAGAAUUUGAUGGAGCUUUGCAUGGCUAUUUGUUAUAAGAAGUCAUUGCUGCUUCUUGUAAUUACAAGGGAUAUGUAAGUUUUCUGACAAACCUUUGAAUCUCUGUUAGAAUCUAUAUGUAUCGCAUAUUUCUUAUUCUGAAAAAUAAAUCUAUUAUAUUGAUGUUAUCAAAUCCUGGUCAUUAGAGAACCGCGCCUGUGUGCUUUAAUAAAGGUCGUUGUCAUAUGCUUUAUUCUUCAGAUUGCCAACGCUGUUUGUGUUGGACUGCGUGCUGGUCGACAUGACUCCGGAGCAGUCUUCAAGGCUGGUUAAGUGGGUGGCAGAUACCUUUCACACUGCCAUGUUCAUAAACUACCAGCAGGUAGAAAUGCAACCUCGGAACUGACUUUGCCUUUCAGCUCCUUUCAGAAGUGCAGAAUUCAGCCUGCAGGUGGCACUUGCUGAUAAAGUACCCACUACCGUAGAAAGUUAAAAUUGCUGUUGUAUAUCCAUCACAAUUCAUUUAAUGAGCCCCACAUUUCUUCAGAUAAGCAAUUACAUAUUGUACAUGUGCUACUUUCGGGAAAAUCAGCCUUGUUUUAUUUUGGAAUGUACUCCAAAGCUAAGACAACAUUUUGUUUCAAUACUCAGAAAACAUUUCUAAGCUGUUCUGGUUUUAGGUGAACAUGGCAGAUCGCUUUGGGCAGAUCGCUUUGGGCAAAGAAGGCAAUGCAACCUGGCAGGAGUAGGUCUGUAGAUCACUUGAGUCUCAGAAAGGUUUUUAUUGGCUGGCUGGGAAAAAGCUGAUGCACUUGAUAUGGUGAACGUAUAGAACAUCCUUGCGCAACAUGACGUGGGAAAGAAUGUUCUCCAGGAGAAAGAUAAUUUUUCUUCUAAACAUCGCAGUGUAUCCAGAUCAUGAUCCUGAUGCACUGCUAUCCUUAAAGACAUUGCUUUAUGGCCCUUGAUGUGUGAUUACAAAUGUCAAAAGAGGUCUCUAAGAAGUGGCCUUUUAAUUAUUUUGAAAGAAAUGGAAACAGCACUUUUAUCACGGAAGAACAGCUGUUACUGCAUGUCUGGAAAUGCUGACUACUUGUGCCUAACUGACUUUUUUCAGCUGUUGCCUAAGUAAUAUUUCAGUUACAAUAAAACCAGAUGAAACCCUGAUAAAGGCCUGAGAAAUCUUUUUUGUUCUUUA